AGUGAACGCUGGCGGUAGGCCUAACACAUGCAAGUCGAACGGCAGCACAGUAAGAGCUUGCUCUUACGGGUGGCGAGUGGCGGACGGGUGAGGAAUACAUCGGAAUCUACUUUUUCGUGGGGGAUAACGUAGGGAAACUUACGCUAAUACCGCAUACGACCUACGGGUGAAAGCAGGGGAUCUUCGGACCUUGCGCGAUUGAAUGAGCCGAUGUCGGAUUAGCUAGUUGGCGGGGUAAAGGCCCACCAAGGCGACGAUCCGUAGCUGGUCUGGGAGGAUGAUCAACCCCCCGUGAACCGGACAACGGUCCCGAAUCCUUCGGGAGGCAGGCGGUGGGAAUAUUGGACAAUGGGCGCAAGCCUGAUCCAGCCAUACCGCGUGGGUGAAGAAGGCCUUCGGGUUGUAAAGCCCUUUUGUUGGGAAAGAAAAGCAGCAGGUUAAUACCCCGCUGUUCUGACGGUACCCAAAGAAUAAGCACCGGCUAACUUCGUG
This 492-nucleotide ribosomal RNA is filed under the name uncultured bacterium. RNAcentral's name for it is "partial 16S ribosomal RNA". It matches the Rfam family "Bacterial small subunit ribosomal RNA", at positions 29 to 507 of the family's 1533-position model. The record is from RNAcentral.